Anas platyrhynchos (mallard) is the source of this 983-nucleotide long non-coding RNA. RefSeq lists it as uncharacterized. The record is from RefSeq and is a predicted model, not a curated record. Lineage: Eukaryota; Metazoa; Chordata; Aves; Anseriformes; Anatidae.
UCCCAUUCAGGGUGUGUAAAUCCAGGAGGCCAAUGCCUCUCUGAGUGCUGUUACUUCCUGUAGGGCCACCUUGCUCUAUUAGUGGAUGCCAAACUUAAUAAUUGCUUACAUCUGAGGAUUCUCCAACAGAGGUUCCUUGACAAGGCUUGCUGAAGAGCAUUGCAAACUGUUACAAGGGCACCAUUUCAUUCCUGUUCAGCAAUCAGUUUGAGCCACAGAAGCUGAUUUGUUUCAUUUAAUCUUUGAGAUCUGGGCCGGGUUUUGCACAUUUUAGCACAAUCUUUGCCAGUCUCAGGCUGAAGAAGAUUUUCUCAAGGCCAGGAUUGUUUCUCAUUCAGCAAAGCUAUCAGAUAUAUUUCAAUUUUCCUGCUCUUUGCACACGACAUAGUAAAUUUUCAGUAUCAAGUUCCACUCAACCCUAAAGCUCAUGGAAUAUUCUAAACACCUGGAUAGUGUUACUGAGUGUUGUACAGAUGGCAACAUGGGGAACAUCCAGUACAUGGGAAAGUGAAGGCUUCCUUUUGCUAGUACAGAAGAAUUUAAUUUCCAUUUUCCCCAUUUUUGCUGUACUGCGUGUAGGGCUUUAAUUCAUUCAAAGCCUUACUUUUUUUUUUUUUUUUUUUUUUUUUUUACUGAGGCUUCCAACAGCUAUGACACUAUGACAUACCGACAUACCAUAAUUACUAAAUAAAGCCUAAGUGUCUUGGAGUCCUCUUAUCCAAGCUAUAUAUUUUUAUGUUCAGUACAGGCAACUGUGAGCACAACAUGGGUAAUUAUACAUUCAGUUUGAAAUGUCCCAGUAUUUACUCUGUCAUUCCUGCAUGGAAUUAUUCAGUGGUAAAUCCAAUAUGAGAUUGCAAGUAGCAUCUGCAAUUAUUUUAUUUAUUUGUAUUUCUCUAUACAGAAAAGCUAACCCAAAAUGUCAUUCAUAAACAUGGUGCUAAAUCAUGCCUUGGCAAUUUGUUUCUUACAGACAGACCAUC